Molecule: long non-coding RNA, 1179 nt
Filed under: Homo sapiens (human)
Lineage: Eukaryota; Metazoa; Chordata; Mammalia; Primates; Hominidae
Description: non-protein coding lnc-C17orf80-7:1
Source: RNAcentral
GGCGGCCCCGAGCCAGGCCCGGGAGCGAGCCCCGCAGAAAUACAAUCCGACUGCGCGGCCGCGGGCGCCCAGCGGCUCUGGGACCCGCAGGGGGGCAGCAGUGCCAACCUUCUGCCGCGCCGGGAGAGAUGCGCGCGAGCCCCUCCGCUCUCUGCCCAGCCUUUCCUUCCAGCCUCGCUCGCGCCCCUGUCUCAAAGGCCUCAUAGGACUCCCAGAGUCUCCUAUAGUCGGGAGCCCCCAGCCCCCUUCCGGACAUGGAGUGAUUGGUGGGGAGGCGGCGGUUGGGAAAAGGGGGUCGGUCAACCGAUUGAUUCCAGUUUCCCCUUCCCAAGUCAGGCUCUCCAAGGUCUGGAAAUGCUCAGGGCGGAGGGGGAGACAUCGGGAGGCCUGGGACCUGCAGAAGCCUGAGAAAGUGAAGUUGGUGCCAAGGAGCGUGCGUUCUUUGUUUCUUCUUUUUUCCUUCGGAGCCCAGCUUGUAAAGAGUAGAAGAACCGGACAUUGGUGGAGGAAUUCAAACAAGAGAGCCCGGAGGCGUCCUCUGCUGUGGCCCAGAGCUAGCGCCUACUCCACGAAGCUCAGCUGGGGUUAACAGGCUUCUGUUAAAAUUUCCCGGGCACUGGGAAAAUUUCAGGUGCCUUCGCCUCGGUGGACUCCUUUCCCUGCUAACAAAAUUAUUAAAAAUAAGAUUUUGCAACUGCGUUGGCAUAAGGAAAAGUAUAUUAAUAUUGCAUAUUAAAACAUGUUCUUCAGCCUAAAGCUUUACUUAUUUUUUUCUGAUUUUAAAAGAAAUCAAAACAUUUUCAUGGGCCCCAAAAGACUAUGGUCCCUGGCACUGGGCCUGCGGUGCUUAAUGCAGAAGUCUACCCUGCGUGUCUGAUAUUUCUUCUGGGAAAUAAAGAGCUAGUGAGACCCUCCAUCUUUUGCCACAGUGCUUCUCUCUACUCUCUCUCGUGGUCCUACUUAGUCUGGUCCCCCACGGCUGCCUAGUCUUUCUGGUCCUUGAAGUCUAGGACUGUCACUCACUGAUUGCCAACUCUUUCCCAGGCGCACUCCCACCCCAAGGACACCCCUUGUGAUUGCUGUGGAAUAGGCAUAGCCACCGCAAAUAUAUCGUUACUUAUAUAUUCUCCUUUCACCUGCUUUGGAAGAAGAACCGUAAGCAUUUAUUAAAAAUGUCUG